GAUGAACGCUGGCGGCGUGCCUAAUACAUGCAAGUCGAGCGAACAGACGAGGAGCUUGCUCCUUCGACGUUAGCGGCGGACGGGUGAGUAACACGUAGGUAACCUACCUAUAAGACUGGGAUAACUUCGGGAAACCGGAGCCAAUACCGGAUAAUAUUUCGAACCGCAUGGUUCGAUAGUGAAAGAUGGCUUUGCUAUCACUUAUAGAUGGACCUGCGCCGUAUUAGCUAGUUGGUAAGGUAACGGCUUACCAAGGCAACGAUCCGUAGCCGACCUGAGAGGAUGAUCGGCCACACUGGAACUGAGACACGGUCCAGACUCCUACGGGAGGCAGCAGUAGGGAAUCUUCCGCAAUGGGCGAAAGCCUGACGGAGCAACGCCGCGUGAGUGAUGAAGGUCUUCGGAUCGUAAAACUCUGUUAUUAGGAAAGAACAAACGUGUAAGUAACUGUGCACGUCUUGACGGUACCUAAUCAGAAAGCCACGGCUAACUACGUG
RNAcentral lists this ribosomal RNA (497 nucleotides) under uncultured bacterium. RNAcentral's name for it is "partial 16S ribosomal RNA". It matches the Rfam family "Bacterial small subunit ribosomal RNA", at positions 28 to 507 of the family's 1533-position model. The record is from RNAcentral.